AGUGAACGCCGGCGGUAGGCCUAACACAUGCAAGUCGAACGGCAGCACAGUAAGAGCUUGCUCUUACGGGUGGCGAGUGGCGGACGGGUGAGGAAUACAUCGGAAUCUACUUUUUCGUGGGGGAUAACGUAGGGAAACUUACGCUAAUACCGCAUACGACCUACGGGUGAAAGCAGGGGAUCUUCGGACCUUGCGCGAUUGAAUGAGCCGAUGUCGGAUUAGCUAGUUGGCGGGGUAAAGGCCCACCAAGGCGACGAUCCGUAGCUGGUCUGAGGGGAUGAUCAGCCACACUGGAACUGAGACACGGUCCAGACUCCUACGGGAGGCAGCAGUGGGGAAUAUUGGACAAUGGGCGCAAGCCUGAUCCAGCCAUACCGCGUGGGUGAAGAAGGCCUUCGGGUUGUAAAGCCCUUUUGUUGGGAAAGAAAAGCAGCAGGUUAAUACCCCGCUGUUCUGACGGUACCCAAAGAAUAAGCACCGGCUAACUUCGUG
Molecule: ribosomal RNA, 492 nt
Filed under: uncultured bacterium
Lineage: Bacteria
Description: partial 16S ribosomal RNA
Rfam family: Bacterial small subunit ribosomal RNA
Source: RNAcentral